Molecule: transfer RNA, 40 nt
Filed under: Potaninia mongolica
Lineage: Eukaryota; Viridiplantae; Streptophyta; Magnoliopsida; Rosales; Rosaceae
Description: partial transfer RNA-Phe
Source: RNAcentral
GUCGGGAUAGCUCAGCUGGUAGAGCAGAGGACUGAAAUUC